Molecule: transfer RNA, 85 nt
Filed under: Verrucomicrobiota bacterium
Lineage: Bacteria; Pseudomonadati; Verrucomicrobiota
Description: Verrucomicrobia bacterium (freshwater metagenome) tRNA-Leu
Rfam family: tRNA
About the family: Transfer RNA (tRNA) molecules are approximately 80 nucleotides in length. Their secondary structure includes four short double-helical elements and three loops (D, anti-codon, and T loops).
Source: RNAcentral
GCUCGGGUGGUGGAAUUGGUAGACACACUCGCUUGAGGUGCGUGUGCCGUAAGGCGUGCAGGUUCGAGUCCUGUCCCGAGCACCA